AGAAAAGAGCGGGAGACUUAACGACAAGAGUACACUAAGUUGUGAAUGUUGCUGCACCUGCAACAAAUAUGACUUGGCAGUAGCAUCUUCGAUCCUAUGAGCUGUCAGCCACACAGGGGAGCUUGUCUAUCCACCUGCAAUCUGACUUGAAUGAUACAACCCCACUCUGUGCAUACAAGAUUGGGGGCUUGCUGAUGCUUACUCCCAAGAGGUUCAUAAAAGUGAGACAAAAUUAAGACCACUCUACAUGAUGGCAGCU
Long non-coding RNA from Cyprinodon variegatus (sheepshead minnow), 259 nucleotides. RefSeq lists it as uncharacterized. Lineage: Eukaryota; Metazoa; Chordata; Actinopteri; Cyprinodontiformes; Cyprinodontidae. The transcript has 4 exons. The record is from RefSeq and is a predicted model, not a curated record.